RNAcentral lists this ribosomal RNA (158 nucleotides) under uncultured Gardnerella sp. Its description in RNAcentral is "partial 16S ribosomal RNA". It matches the Rfam family "Bacterial small subunit ribosomal RNA", at positions 358 to 527 of the family's 1533-position model. The record is from RNAcentral. Lineage: Bacteria; Bacillati; Actinomycetota; Actinomycetes; Bifidobacteriales; Bifidobacteriaceae.
GGGCCAUUGCGCAUGGGGGGGACCCUGACGCAGCGACGCCGCGUGCGGGAUGAAGGCCUUCGGGUUGUAAACCGCUUUUGAUUGGGAGCAAGCUUUCGGGUGAGUGUACCUUUCGAAUAAGCGCCGGCUAACUACGUGCCAGCAGCCGCGGUAAUACA